RNAcentral lists this transfer RNA (67 nucleotides) under Rheocricotopus villiculus. Its description in RNAcentral is "tRNA-Trp". Lineage: Eukaryota; Metazoa; Arthropoda; Insecta; Diptera; Chironomidae. The record is from RNAcentral.
AAAGUUUUAAGUUAAAUAAACUAAUAGCCUUCAAAGUUAUAAAUAAAAAAAUUAUUUUUAAGCUUUA